This 440-nucleotide ribosomal RNA is filed under the name uncultured bacterium. RNAcentral's name for it is "partial 16S ribosomal RNA". It matches the Rfam family "Bacterial small subunit ribosomal RNA", at positions 338 to 795 of the family's 1533-position model. The record is from RNAcentral.
CCUACGGGUGGCAGCAGUGGGGAAUAUUGCACAAUGGGGGAAACCCUGAUGCAGCGACGCCGCGUGAGUGAAGAAGGAAUUCGUUAUGUAAAGUUCUAUCAUCAGGGAAGAACAUGACCGUACCUGAGUAAGAAGCCCCGGCUAACUGCGUGACAGCAGCCGCGGUAAUACGUUGGGGGGGAGCGUUCUCCGGAUUUACUGGGUGGAACGGGAGCGUAGACGGCAGUGCAAGUCUGGAGGGAAAGGCGGGGGCUCAACCCCCGGACUGCUCUGGAUACUAGCCGGCUGGAGUGCAGGAGAGGUAAGUGGAAUUCCUAGUGAAGCGGUGAAAUGCGUAGAUAUAAGGAAGAACACCAGAGGCGAAGGCGGCUUACUGGACUGUAACUGACGUUGAGGCACGAAAGCGUGGGGAGCAAACAGGAUUAGAUACCCGGGUAGUC